Molecule: ribosomal RNA, 496 nt
Filed under: uncultured bacterium
Lineage: Bacteria
Description: partial 16S ribosomal RNA
Rfam family: Bacterial small subunit ribosomal RNA
Source: RNAcentral
AUGAACGCUGGCGGCGUGCCUAAUCCAUUCCAGUCGAGCGAACGGACGAGAAGCUUGCUUCUCUGAUGUUAUCGGCGGACGGGUGAUUAACACGUGGAUAACCUACCUAUAAUACUGGGUUAACUUCGGGAAACCGGAGCUAAUACCGGUUAAUAUUUUUAACCCCUUGGUUCAAAUGUGAAAGUCGGUCUUGCUGUCACUUAUAGAUGGCUCCUCGCUGCAUUAGCUAGUUGGUAAGGUAACGGCUUACCAAGGCAACGCUGCAUAGCCGACCUGAGAGGGGGAUAGGCCGCACUAGAGCUGAAACACGGACAAGACGACUAAGGGAGGCAGCAGUAGGGAAUCUGAGGCAGUAGGCGAAAGCAUGACGGAGCAACGCCGCGUGAGUGAUGAAGGUCUUCGGAGCGUAAAAAUCGGUUAUGAGGGAAGAACAGAUGUGGAAGGAACUGUGCACAUAGUGACGGUAACUAAUAAGAAAGCCACGGCUAACUACGUG